ACUUGAAUCAUUGUAAUUGAACAAGUUUACUAUUUAUCCUAGUGAAUUUAUUUAACUGAUAUAUUUGACUUUUAUUUAUUAAUUUUGAAAAUAUUUGAAUGUUGUUCAUCUCAAGGACUUGCAUGAUCUCUAGGGUGAAGCUCUAGGAUUCAUGUGGCCAUAUUAUGUAAUAGAACCAGGAGUUGAGUUCAGAGUAUGACAAAUUUUCUCCUCUAAGUCAUCAUAGAGGAAAGUAGUUUUCACAU
Molecule: long non-coding RNA, 245 nt
Filed under: Elaeis guineensis (African oil palm)
Lineage: Eukaryota; Viridiplantae; Streptophyta; Magnoliopsida; Arecales; Arecaceae
Description: long non-coding RNA (EGUI_LNC073708)
Source: RNAcentral